GUGAGUAACACGUGGGCAAUCUGCCCUUCACUCUGGGACAAGCCCUGGAAACGGGGUCUAAUACCGGAUACUGACCCUCGCAGGCAUCUGCGAGGUUCGAAAGCUCCGGCGGUGAAGGAUGAGCCCGCGGCCUAUCAGCUUGUUGGUGAGGUAAUGGCUCACCAAGGCGACGACGGGUAGCCGGCCUGAGAGGGCGACCGGCCACACUGGGACUGAGACACGGCCCAGACUCCUACGGGAGGCAGCAGUGGGGAAUAUUGCACAAUGGGCGAAAGCCUGAUGCAGCGACGCCGCGUGAGGGAUGACGGCCUUCGGGUUGUAAACCUCUUUCAGCAGGGAAGAAGCGAAAGUGACGGUACCUGCAGAAGAAGCGCCGGCUAACUACGUGCCAGCAGCCGCGGUAAUACGUAGGGCGCAAGCGUUGUCCGGAAUUAUUGGGCGUAAAGAGCUCGUAGGCGGCUUGUCACGUCGGUUGUGAAAGCCCGGGGCUUAACCCCGGGUCUGCAGUCGAUACGGGCAGGCUAGAGUUCGGUAGGGGAGAUCGGAAUUCCUGGUGUAGCGGUGAAAUGCGCAGAUAUCAGGAGGAACACCGGUGGCGAAGGCGGAUCUCUGGGCCGAUACUGACGCUGAGGAGCGAAAGCGUGGGGAGCGAACAGGAUUAGAUACCCUGGUAGUCCACGCCGUAAACGGUGGGCACUAGGUGUGGGCAACAUUCCACGUUGUCCGUGCCGCAGCUAACGCAUUAAGUGCCCCGCCUGGGGAGUACGGCCGCAAGGCUAAAACUCAAAGGAAUUGACGGGGGCCCGCACAACCGGCGGAGCAUGUGGCUUAAUUCGACCCAACCCAAAGAACCUUACCAAGGCUUGACAUACACCGGAAAGCAUCAGAAAUGGUGCCCCCCUUGUGGCCGGUGUACAGGGGGGGCAUGGCUGGCCUCAGCUCGUGUCGUGAGAUGUUGGGUUAAGUCCCGCAACGAGCGCAACCCUUGUCCCGUGUUGCCAGCAAGCCCUUCGGGGUGUUGGGGACUCACGGGAGACCGCCGGGGUCAACUCGGAGGAAGGUGGGGACGACGUCAAGUCAUCAUGCCCCUUAUGUCUUGGGCUGCACACGUGCUACAAUGGCCGGUACAAUGAGCUGCGAUACCGCAAGGUGGAGCGAAUCUCAAAAAGCCGGUCUCAGUUCGGAUUGGGGUCUGCAACUCGACCCCAUGAAGUCGGAGUCGCUAGUAAUCGCAGAUCAGCAUUGCUGCGGUGAAUACGUUCCCGGGCCUUGUACACACCGCCCGUCACGUCACGA
Molecule: ribosomal RNA, 1296 nt
Filed under: Streptomyces sp.
Lineage: Bacteria; Bacillati; Actinomycetota; Actinomycetes; Kitasatosporales; Streptomycetaceae
Description: bacterial SSU rRNA
Rfam family: Bacterial small subunit ribosomal RNA
Source: RNAcentral